CGCCUCGGCUUCCCCCUCUCGCUCGCUCAGCACGUCGUCGCCUAGGCGCAAGGAAACAGCGUUGCUGCUGGAGCCGGGCGCCACAAGCCACGCACCUCGCACUGCCCCUCCCUGCGGUGUCCAGCGUGCCCUCCCGAGGGGAGCAAAAGUCAACGACGCCCGCUGAAUCGCCCUCCCAGCGACAUCCCGCGCUGCCAGGAGCUUCACCGAGAACCGAGCAGCUUCGCCCCUCCACUUCGUCAUGUCGAAGCCGCACGCCCCCUGCUGUCGGUCUCGCAGCGCCACUGACGCCUGGGAGCCAAUCACCGCUGUCGCCUCUUCUGGCCAAACACCUGCAUGCCCUGCCGCUCGUGCCCCCUACUGCUUCAUCACCAGGCGUACUCGACGGAAAACAGACCGCCUCAUCCUUCUCCCCGGCGAGAUUCCGGCCGAUUCUGUCCGUCCCUGCAGCCAAUAAGGUAUAAAAUGGAUUCCUCUCGUCGUCCUCUCCGUUUUCCUCCACUUCUCGUGAUCUCUCAUGAACCGAGUCAACGGGAAAUUCAUCCACAGUACCCGCCGGCCUCCAUAAGAGGUGUUCUCGAGCUUUCGCAGUUUAGCCGCUGCAAUGUAUGUUUUAUCGCAAAUAGAUCCCAGCAGCCUGGUUUCUUCCAUAGUUUCCACGUUUUAACGUUUUAGCUCCGUUUUAGUUCGUUCUCGUUGUGUUAGCUUUGUUUUAGUGUGAACUAUCAUUUAGUAGUGUUGGUUUAUCAUAGUUCAUGUUUUAUAAUUAAAUUUAGAAUUAAUUUGAAUAAUGAUUACUGAAAUUAGCUUUUCUAACUAAAAGCAAAUUAGUGUUAUAAUAUAGUUUUCGUAAUUUAUGUUAAUUUGAUUAAACAUAAACUUGAAUGUGUUUCUAAAUAACUUGUUUAGCUCAGUCACGGAUCAUAAAGUUUUAUAUUAGUUGCUCUCACCUGUCUUUUAUUUGCUAGUUAAUAAUUAAUUAGCUUAAUUUGUAUGUAAACUUGUUAAAUAAAAUUUGACUAAGUUCAUGUCAUCUUUACAAAUAUAAAUCAAAUUGAGUUAUUCUAAUAUAUCCUUUAUAUGUGUUUUCAUAAUUAAAAUAAAUUCAGCUUAUAGAUUUUUUUAUGUUACAAUGCAAACCUUUCGAUAGUUGUAUCUUUCCAAUCAUAGCUCCGUUUUCAGCGUUUCUUGCGUUCUUGUGACCGUAGUAACGAGCUCUUUCUGUUAGUGUGUUCUUUUAAUGCUUUUCUUCUGUUUGGUGUUGUAUUCUUAGUUAUUCUUGUUUGUUUGAUUAUAUGUGUUGUGCUCGAUGCUUGUCGCGAGGAGAAAGGAACGCAGUACGGGAGCUUAGUUUGAAGAGCAAGUGUUGAAGACUCUGAGCAACUGUUCUCUAGAAUAAAAACAACUCAGGCAACUCACAGGGCGUGCCUACCAUGGUUUAGGUGCCGGCGGUGGUGGCGACAGAGACGGCGUCGUUGUAAGCUUAGGGCAACUCACAGGGCGUGCGACCAUAGUUUAGGUGCCGCCGUCACCGGCGACGGCAUCGACAAUGACAACGACGGAGAUAUUAGCAUCAGCCUGUCUACUGUUGAUUUGCUCCACCAACAUCACUGUAGGCACGUGCAUGACAACAUACGCCUGACCUCAUUGUGUUGACCUUGUACAAAGGACUGAAUUCAAUCUGAAAAUGAGCAACGCUGGAGCACCUGACUUGCCUGACACAUUGUUUGUCUGAUGCGGAAAUGGUACUCCAAGUGAAACCCACUUUGGGUGUGGGAUCUAUAACUCCAAACAAAUCACAUAAUGCACCAUUGAAUGGAUCAUCCUUGACAUCAAAAUAUGAGAAUAUCACUUUGGGUGUGGCGUGUACAACACCACAAAAAUCAUGGAGUGUACCAUUCUAUGGAUCAUCUUACAUACCGGAAUGUGAUGAGUCCUUAAAGCCCGCAGUUGGUAUGACAUUUGAGGACAUAGAUUCAGCCAAAGAGUUCUACAAAGCCUAUGCUGCCCAUGUUGGGUUUCUAGUACGUAUGGGUCAGCACAAGGCAAAGAAUGGUUUGGUAACAAAUAAGCCUCUCUACUGCUCGAGGGAAGGAUUUCGUAAGGCUAAAGAGGAAAUACAAUCAGAACCUGAAUGCAGCGGGAAAAGGAAAUGUGAAAGGAAAAUCACUCGAUGUGGAUGUCUGGCUAUGGUUGCUCUCAAGCGGAUAAAGGAAAGUAAGUACAUCAUAACCACUUUUGUGGAAGAGCAUACACAUGCACUUGUCUCACCUAAUAAGCAGCAUCUCAUAAGAUCAAAUAGAGAAGUUGGGAAGAAGGCGAAGAAUACAUUGUUCAAUUUUUAUAGGGCUAGCAUUGGCACUUCAGAUGCGUAUUGUUUCCUUUGUGUUGGCCUUGGCGGGUUUGAGAAUGUUGGGUGCACACUAAGGGACCUACAGAAUUACCAUGGGAAGUUAAGGUGCUUGAUAAAGUCAUCGGAUGCUUAAAUGUUUGUGGACCAACUGAGCAGAAAGACGCUUGCAAAUCCAGCAUUUUUUUUAUUAUGUCAUCGAUGAGAAGGGCAGGUUAGUCCAUGCAUUUUGGGCUGAUGCCACUGGUAGGAAGAAUUACUCUCAUUUCAGGAAUUUAGUAUCUUUCGACUCUACAUACAGUACGAAUGAGUAUAACAUGAUAUUCACACCCUUUACUGGAGUCAAUCAUCACAAGGUAAAUGUGCUGUUUGCGGGCUGCAUUGUUAUCUAAUGAGAAGAUAGAGUCCUACACAUGGUUGUUUGACAUUCUUAAAUGCAAUGGGUGGUGUGGAACCUUCUGUAAUUAUAACUGAUGAAGAUGCUAGCAUGAAGGUUGCAAUACAAAAUGUUUUCCUAACAUCUACCCAUAGGCUAUGCAUGUGGCACAUACCGAGGAAGGUUCAUGAUAAGGUUGGUCCUGAUCUCAAGGAGGAGGAUGAGUUUCAUAAUUCUCUGAGCUUAUGUGUAUGAUCAUCUGAAACUCCAGAAGAAUUUAAGGAAUGAUGGGCAAAAAUUAUAAUAAGUUACAACUUGAAAAACCAUGACUGGUUUGUUGGGAGGUUUGAUAUCAGGUCAUCAUGGGUAUCAGCUUACUUUAGAAUAUUCCUUUGUCAGGACUUUUGAGGACCACUUCUCAGUCGGAAAGUGCCAAUUCUUACUUUUCUCGGUUCAUUGGGUUUAAGCAUGCUUUGGUUGAGUUUUGGCUCAGGUUUGAUACUGCCUUGGAAGAUCAAAGGCAUAAGGAGCUGGAAGCUGACAAUGUGACUCUCCACACAACCCCUGUGUUGAAGAUAUCAUGGGGAAUGGAAAAACAUGGCAGUGAGCUCUUUACCCAUGAGGUCUUCAUGGAGUUUCAGCAGGAGCUGCUAGUUGCUAGAGAGUACUGCAUCUUUGAAAGCAUGCAAACAGAUGGAGAGUUGAGAACCAUAAGAGUAGCUGAUAAUUCCAAGAAAGUAAGGGUGGUACAGCUCAAUACAUGGACAAUGUUUGCUUCCGGCUCAUGCAUGCUCUUCGAAACACACGUCAUUCCAUGUUGGCAUAUUAUCCAUGCCCUUAGAAGUGCCAAUAUUGAUGAACUCCCAAGCAUCUAUAUACUAAAAAGGUUUAGGAAGGACUGUAAGAAAGAAGUUGUAUUGAGUCCAGAUGGUACCUUGUUGGAGGAAAGGAACAAAAAUCCAGUAGACCCAGUACUGCAAAGAUUAAUUUCAGAUACAUCCAAUAAGAUUGAAUCUCUAUUCAUUCAAGCUAAAAAUUCACUUGAUGCUAUGCAACUUUUGAGGGAUGGUGUAUAUGCACUUGGCGACAGAAUUACUGACAUGGUUCCAGCCAAAGAACAAAGUGGAAUUGAAGAGUUUGAAGGAUAUCCAAUUCCUAUGCAAGUUGAUAUCCACCUCCCAAAUGAUAUCCGUUCAAAGGGGAGAAUCAAAAGAAUCAAGGGUCAUGCUAACAAGGGGCAACAACAAAAUAAGAAUGAGCAAAGAAAGAAGAAAGUGCUACAGCCAUGAAGAUGCAGCGCAUGCAAGGUGGUCGGAUUGCAUGAUCGCAGAACUUGCCCUGAGAAAGCAAACAAAGGAUGAGUUAGUUUUCUGGUUCGAGGGAGCAGGGUAUCUCGGUUGCUGCUAUGUUAAAAGUAGUGUCGCUAUGAAGUUGGCCAACUUUAGUAUUGCUAGUAGACUGGACUAAUAUAUAUCUCAGACAAGACAUAUUUUUAUGAUUAAUUGUAUUGUGCUCAUUGUAAAUAUAUUGAUGCAAUGAAGUGUUUCAUUGACAAAGUA
RNA transcript from Panicum hallii, 4285 nucleotides. It is a transcript of the gene named protein FAR1-RELATED SEQUENCE 5-like, with no coding region annotated. Lineage: Eukaryota; Viridiplantae; Streptophyta; Magnoliopsida; Poales; Poaceae. The transcript is spliced from 6 exons. The record is from RefSeq and is a predicted model, not a curated record.